CAGUAGCCGCGGUAAUACGUAGGGUGCGAGCGUUAAUCGGAAUUACUGGGCGUAAAGCGUGCGCAGGCGGUUUUGUAAGACAGAGGUGAAAUCCCCGGGCUCAACCUGGGAACUGCCUUUGUGACUGCAAGGCUAGAGUACGGCAGAGGGGGAUGGAAUUCCGCGUGUAGCAGUGAAAUGCGUAGAUAUGCGGAGGAACACCAAUGGCGAAGGCAAUCCCCUGGGCCUGUACUGACGCUCAUGCACGAAAGCGUGGGGAGCAAACAGGAUUAGAUACCCCUGUAGUCCCUGUCUCUUAUAA
RNAcentral lists this ribosomal RNA (301 nucleotides) under uncultured bacterium. RNAcentral's name for it is "partial 16S ribosomal RNA". It matches the Rfam family "Bacterial small subunit ribosomal RNA", at positions 509 to 809 of the family's 1533-position model. The record is from RNAcentral.